This 74-nucleotide transfer RNA is filed under the name Caudoviricetes sp. RNAcentral describes it as "tRNA-Pro". It matches the Rfam family "tRNA". Rfam says of the family: Transfer RNA (tRNA) molecules are approximately 80 nucleotides in length. Their secondary structure includes four short double-helical elements and three loops (D, anti-codon, and T loops). The record is from RNAcentral. Lineage: Duplodnaviria; Heunggongvirae; Uroviricota; Caudoviricetes.
UGGGAAUUAGCGCAGUUUGGUAGCGUACUUGAUUUGGGAUCAAGGGGCCACGGGUUCGAAUCCCGUAUUCCCAA